This 102-nucleotide non-coding RNA is filed under the name Oryzias latipes (Japanese medaka). Its description in RNAcentral is "Eukaryotic small subunit ribosomal RNA". It matches the Rfam family "Eukaryotic small subunit ribosomal RNA", at positions 1502 to 1604 of the family's 1831-position model. Lineage: Eukaryota; Metazoa; Chordata; Actinopteri; Beloniformes; Adrianichthyidae. The record is from Rfam by way of RNAcentral.
ACUGAGUGGAUCAGUGUGUGUCUACCCUGCGCUGAUAGACGUGGGUAACCCGCUAAACCCACUCAUGAUAGGGAUUGGGAACUGCAAUUAUUUCCCAUCAAC